AAAUGCGAUAAGUAAUGUGAAUUGCAGAAUUCAGUGAAUCAUCGAAUCUUUGAACGCACCUUGCGCUCCUUGGUAUUCCUUGGAGCAUGCCUGUUUGAGUAUCAUGAAAUCUUCAAAGUAAAUCUUUUGUUAACUCAAUUGGUUUCUACUUUGGUAUUGGAGGUCUUUGCAGCUUCACACCUGCUCCUCUUUGUUCAUUAGCUGGAUCUCAGUGUUAUGCUUGGUUCCACUCGGCGUGAUAAGUUAUCUAUCGCUGAGGACACUGUAAAAGGUGGCCAAGGUAAAUGCAGAUGAACCGCUUCUAAUAGUCCAUUGACUUGAACAAUACUUUUAUGAUCUGAUCUCAAAUCAGGUAGGACUACCCGCUGAACUUAAGC
RNAcentral lists this unclassified non-coding RNA (377 nucleotides) under plant metagenome. RNAcentral describes it as "partial contains 5.8S ribosomal RNA, internal transcribed spacer 2, and large subunit ribosomal RNA". The stretch from base 1 to 104 matches the Rfam family "5.8S ribosomal RNA", at positions 51 to 154 of the family's 154-position model. The record is from RNAcentral.